Molecule: non-coding RNA, 125 nt
Filed under: Fragilariopsis kerguelensis
Lineage: Eukaryota; Bacillariophyta; Bacillariophyceae; Bacillariales; Bacillariaceae
Source: RNAcentral
CACACACAUCACAUCACAGCUCUACACAUACCUCAUCCGCCAAAAUACCAUGCAAGCCCUUUUCGGCGAGAGAUAGAUCAUCCAAUGCAAGGAUUCUAAUGGGUAGGGUUUUCAUUUUCCAAAUG